This 1499-nucleotide long non-coding RNA is filed under the name Cavia porcellus (domestic guinea pig). RNAcentral describes it as "lncRNA (ENSCPOG00000031869.1)". Lineage: Eukaryota; Metazoa; Chordata; Mammalia; Rodentia; Caviidae. The record is from RNAcentral.
UUUCCAGCUCCGACUCGCGCCCGGCGGGCGGCGGCAGUCACGUGGCGCCGUAUCCCGGAGCGGCCGCCGCGGUUCGGCCGGGCGUCGAGGGGCCGCGGACGGUGCUGGGAGCCUCCGCGUCGGCGCCUUCAUUCGUUUCCCCCCUCGGACUCGCGCUCGCUGCGGGCGCCGGCGGGGAGGCGCGGCCUCUCGCCUGACGGCGGGAAAGAAAACCGGACCCGCGGCUGAGCCUCCAUCCCCAUCCCCUCUCCAGGCGAGGCCUACAGACCAAUCCGCAGGCCGGAUCAAGUGGCGCCCAACGUGGGGCUCGACCUGGCACGAGGGAUAUCAACGCGGGACCGCUCACGGGAGUAAAUCGCCGGCUGGCAUGACUGUUCUGGGACUUCGUCCCUGUGAUCCAUGCAGACGGCCGCCUUACGUCUCGCCUGAAUCACGAUGGUGCAACCGCUCAAAACUUUAUGGACCAUCGUUGGACUUCUGACACAACUACAUCUAACGGAUAGCAACCCCCAUCAACCCUGGAAAUGGGAGCUUAGCUGCUGGAAGGACCAACAGAGGAUCAUGACACUCAUUAAUAACAAGGUUGAUGCAUUUAUGGCGAAGCCCACUCAGGUACAUUACCAUCUACAUUGGAAAUGGCAGAACAACAAACUUACCGGGAAAGAACACCCACCGACAGCCCACAUGAUACUGUGGCCCAAAUGCCCUGAGGCACUGGACAGGCAGCCAGAGACGGGCAACUAGGACACAUAUGUUCCUAUGACAGGCCCAGGACCAGCGGCAGUCCUGCAGGCCCACGACGGGUAAGGCUCGAUUGGGUUCAUGUGAGGAGUCCUUGACCCAAGACAGGUGCUGUCCUCACAGGGCCUGCCAUACUCCUAAAAAAUAUAUAAUAAUGUGGGAGGAGAUGUAGGGGGCAGUUGAGAAUGGCUGCCGCUGCCCUGCCCCUCCCACCCGAGGGCAUUGUGUGUGUCAGCCUACGUUUCCCACGAUCCUCCCCUUGCCUGCUGUGUGCCACGGCAUAUGAGCACAUCCAAGCCGGCCCAUCCUGGGAAGCCAUGUCCCCUUUGACUAUGUAACCCAUGUUUACUUCCUGAAUAAAGGGGCUUGAUUGGAAUUGGUCGUCUUGCCCUGUCUCUCUUCUCUUGCCCAGCCCUCCAUCCCCGUCCCCUCUCCAGGCGAGGCCUACGGACCGAUCCGAGGGCCGGAUCAGGGGUGUGCACUGAAAUGUGUCACACAGUUGCUGCAGCGGGGUUUUGUGUUUAGACGCUCUUGCCAUGUAACCUAGGCUGACCUUGGACUCCCAGGUGCCCUCCUGCUCAGCCUCCUGAGCGCUGGCAUUCCAGGUGUGCACCUCCACACCCAGUCUGUGAAGACUUAAAUGUCAGAAGUGACCGAUGUUUUCCCCAGAAGCCUUAGAAAGAAAGUCAGGCUGAGGGUUCAGCUCAGCGCCACAAGCAGCUGCCUGGCAAGUGCAAGGUCGUGAGUUUGAUCCCCGG